Molecule: ribosomal RNA, 253 nt
Filed under: uncultured bacterium
Lineage: Bacteria
Description: partial 16S ribosomal RNA
Rfam family: Bacterial small subunit ribosomal RNA
Source: RNAcentral
UACGGAGGGAGCUAGCGUUGUUCGGAAUUACUGGGCGUAAAGCGCACGUAGGCGGCGAUUCAAGUCAGAGGUGAAAGCCCGGGGCUCAACCCCGGAACUGCCUUUGAAACUAGAUUGCUAGAAUCCUGGAGAGGUGAGUGGAAUUCCGAGUGUAGAGGUGAAAUUCGUAGAUAUUCGGAAGAACACCAGUGGCGAAGGCGACUCACUGGACAGGUAUUGACGCUGAGGUGCGAAAGCGUGGGGAGCAAACGGG